Long non-coding RNA from Trichomycterus rosablanca, 848 nucleotides. RefSeq lists it as uncharacterized. NCBI's taxonomy places the organism in Eukaryota, Metazoa, Chordata, Actinopteri, Siluriformes, Trichomycteridae. The transcript is spliced from 2 exons. The record is from RefSeq and is a predicted model, not a curated record.
AAGGCACAGGCCCGACAAGCAAAGUAUAACAACCUGCGCCGCAAGAAAGAACAGUACCAAGAAGGCGAACUUGUCUGGGUACGUUCUCAUCCACUGUCUCGGGCAGGGGACGCAUUUAUGGCCAAGCUAGCUCCCAAAUGGCAAGGGCCAGCCAAAGUCAUUAAACAACUAAACCCUGUUAACUACAAAAUAGCUAUGCUAAACGCACUAGAUCAACAUGGUACAUAUCAUGUUCAAAAUAUUAAAAGAUAUUAUGGCUUAGUGAAUUCUUAAACAAAGGGGGAGGUAUGUAACAGUUGUUACUGCCAAUUCCCAACCCCGACCACUAAGUGGCAGUAAUCUUAUUAGAAGGGCAAUUCUCAACCUAAAAGGGGAACCAUGUGGUAAUGGAGAUGGUUUGGAGAAGCACCACAUUGUAAUGUGCUGUGCUAAGGAACCUUAUUGAGGAACUUGUUUGUUCUAAAGCUCAAUAAGGUUUUUUUUAUUUCUUCAUUCUGGUCUGGAAGAUUAUCUUUGUCUCUAUUCAAUUGUUGUAAAUGUUUGUGUCUUGAAUCAACAACUUGCUGGUUGGAUGGACUGUGGGAAACAAGCCCAGUAUUCACAAACUAACUGGAAAGGAUUUCAUCUUGUAUUGGACCCAACAAGGACUUCUAUAGACUCUUGAUGAAAUUAAUUAUAUCUACAAAGGCCCGGUGAGAUCUAUCUAAUUAUUAAAUUAUGGACUGAAAGACUCAAUGAACUCUUCCAAGACUUAUAUUCAAUGAAUGGACUUUAUAGUGGCAUUUGAGAUUAUGAUUUGUGUUUUUCAUAUGUUCUGAUUUUGAUGUUUAGUAAAAUGAGUUAAAGCA